UUGGUUGUUUAUGUGAUACUCAUGCUAGUUGCUUCUAUCUUUUUUAUUACUGGAUUUUACUGGUUUCUCUUAGGAUGGGGAUUUUACUGGGUGGUGGAUAACUUAUGGCUAUCUAGAAGUUGUUUUUGCUUUUUUUUUUUUCUUGAUGCAUUUACCAGUUGGGUAAGCAGGGUCUUGGAUCCAGAAGGCAGUGCAUCUGGAGAUGUUGUUACAUCAGUUAAAAGCUGGUCUGUGUUUUUUGCAUAAUAAAAGAAAGGGAAGACAUAAAGCAUAGUAAGAAGAAUAGCAUUAGAAAAGGUGAUAAUUCCUCUUUGAUUUUUUAUUUGUAAGCUGUAAAGUUGAUUUUACUGUAUUUUCCUUUUUAAUGUUAGUGGGUUUUACAAAUGGUAGUAUCCUUUGCCCUGUGAUGGAAAAACUCAAUGUUGGAAACAAUGCCUUGGCUUGAUGAUUACUUUCCUUUUUUUUCCACGGUUCUUUAGUUUGUUUCUAGAUUACUUUGUGCCUGAUGAUGAAAACUUUUAUUUUUGUAUUGAUAUGUGCAUUGAUUUCAUUUUGAGCCUCCAUCUUUUCUGCUCUCACCAUCUUUGGUACUCACCAUGAUCCAUUAUUUUAUUUUAUUUAUUUAUUUAUUACUAUUUUCUCAUGUUGGCUGUGGUGAUGAUGAUCUGUGUUUGCUGUUGGUGGUGGUGAAUGCCAAAGGUGAUGGUUGAAGUGGUGGUGUUUAAACCUUGAAGAUGUGAUUAGUUCUUAAUGAAUUUUCAAUGUUCAUGAAAUUUCUAGCAUUAAUCUCUGAAGGCAUUUAUAUAUUAAAAUGGUCUCUUUUUACAGCUACAAAAUAUAUAUUUUAUUGCCUUAUCUAAUAAUAUGAAGAUAUUGUCAUUUUUUUUUUGUUAGUUUUCACUUUCUUUGCAUGCUUAUUUGCCCUGUGAUGGAAAAUCUAAUUUUCAGAAGCAGUUUCAUGGUUUUGCAUUAUAAGCCCUCUCUCUCUCUCUCUCUCUCUAUACAUACAUA
Humulus lupulus (European hop) is the source of this 1011-nucleotide long non-coding RNA. RefSeq lists it as uncharacterized. The record is from RefSeq and is a predicted model, not a curated record. NCBI's taxonomy places the organism in Eukaryota, Viridiplantae, Streptophyta, Magnoliopsida, Rosales, Cannabaceae. The transcript has 2 exons.